RNAcentral lists this long non-coding RNA (1231 nucleotides) under Fukomys damarensis (Damara mole-rat). Its description in RNAcentral is "lncRNA (ENSFDAG00000027136.1)". The record is from RNAcentral. Lineage: Eukaryota; Metazoa; Chordata; Mammalia; Rodentia; Bathyergidae.
GGGAGUGGGCUUAGGGAACUGUGGGCACGGUGCUCAGAGAGCAUUUCCUUGCCUAAACUUGCGCUGCUGUUAACGGAACCUGCUUUCCAGGGAACCUGCUUUCCAGGGACCGCUGCACUAGGCAGCACGUCAGUGGAGGCCACCGUGCGACGAAGCCCAGCUGCCGCAGCUGUGUGAGCCCACAGUACCCUCUCACCUCCCCGGUAGGGCAGAGGGAGGUAGAAAGGAGGUUCAGCGGGGACCCAGUGAGUUUCCUGACAAUGCAGGAGGACGGAGAUGAGAAACAGAUUCGAUUUGAUGCACCGAGACGCAGCCAGCGCGUGCCCUUCUGGUGGACACAGAGAACUUGGAGUCGUGAGAAAACCAGACACCGAGACUGGCACUCCCUGCUCGGCUCACCAUAGCCUCCUGAUGGCCGACGGAGUCUGGUGCACACAUGCACUUUUCAUGGCGUCGUACCUGCGGCUGAACUUGGACUUGCUCCUCACUUCCUUGCAGGGUGAGGACUCCACCGCCACUCUCCUCACCUUUCCCUUCUGGCAAGAGAGAAACACAGGGACAGAAAUCUCCAGCACCCGCCAAAGGUUGUCAUUCCAGCCCCAGAGCCCUCGGGGGCACAGGGCUCUGGCCAGCUGAAGUCACCCCUCAGGCCCUUUUGGAGCAGAGGGAAGUGUCAGUCUCAGGAAAUCCUUAAAAUACAGGCUGAUAUCCCUUUCCAAUGUUUUCUCCCCAACUUCCAAGAUUAGAUAAUCGCAAGCAACCUGGAGAUAACACCCCCAGCUUCGAUGUUCAGUGUGGCCAAAUGACUCUGGUCAUCCUUUCAAGUCGGCGAGAAGAGGCAGCAGCGGCACAGCGAUGGUGACCAGGCACUCGGGUUUCAGACUGAUCCCCAAAGGACACCCUGUGGGUCUGUCACCCCGUCUCUACAGCAGCCUCGUGGGCCAGAGUGCAGCACCAAGCACUGCCUGGGUGUCAUGGAGCCUCCUAGGCUGGUGUGCAGGUAACCUCACAGAAGAACAAAACGAGGCACCAGGUCCUAACGCCUAAAAUCUCUAACAUCGGCACUGCGUACGGGAGAAAGGUGACCACACCCACACCCACACCGUCCCGUGGGAGAAGCUGACCUCACCCUCUCCACCCCAAAUUCCCCAGCGCAUAACCCUCCCCUCCCCUUCCCCACUUCGGACUCUGCCUGCUCACAGCUGGAGCGAAAUAAACAGCUUGGUUGCCC